AUAAAAAAAUAAAACAAAACAGAAACAGAAGCUCGUGAAAAUCAAAAUCCCAUCGUAAAUCCUCUCCAAACCAAACCAUCUUCUUUUCGGUGUACAAUAAUUGAUUAUCUCCAAAUCACCAAAAUCACCUUCAAAUUAGUUUCAUUCAAAUCAUCUUAGGGCUUCAAAUCAUCUUCUCAAAUCAAUUUCAUCUUAGGGCUUCAAAUCAUCUUCUGAAAAAGGUUUAGGGUUUCAGCUCGUGAGUAGCCUAGAGCGAACAAAGGAACGUAGCACUUUCAUUGAACACAACAUUAAGCUCGUGAUUCGGUAUUGGAUUCGCCUAUUUCAAAAUCUUGAUGAGACUGGAAAAAGAGGGUCCUAAAUUGACAAAGUGCUCAAUGUUGAGAUUGACGAUGUAAUCUUUGAGGAGAGAAUUACUGGAUGCUGGAUACACCUCCCAUUGGUAGAACCUACCAUACAAAGUAUGGCCCUCCCAAGGCUCCUGGUGUUGAUGAGGUUUACCUGUACGGUGGUCAUGUGACUUGGAAGAAUGAACACGGUUCGAAUUUCUUUUCCUCAGUAGUAAGAUGUUGUUGCUGCACAUCGAGGCCUCGACUUCAUGUUUGGAUGUUAAAGAUUAAAAUCAAAUAUUAGUCUCUAUCUUAAGUGAUUUGUGUUGUAUAUGUAAACUAUGUUUUAGAAAUUGUUUCAGGUUUUAAAGGAGAUGAAGAGUUGUGGUGUGCAGCCCGAUAAGCAAUUUUAUAAUGUGAUAAUUGAUACUCUUGGAAAGAAGUAUAAUUGUCUUGAUCAUGAGAUGGCAACAUGGAAUACCUUGAUUGAUUGUCAUUGUAAGUGUGGGCGACAUUAUAGGGCAGAGGAAUUGUUUGAGGUAUACUGAGAAAUCUAAAGGGAACAAAAGCUAUAGAAAUUUUGGCAUUGAAGUUGCAAAUUAAGGACAAGUAUAAUUUAUUCAAGGGACUAAAGAAGAUCCUAAGUCUCAGUCAGCCAAGGGGUCUGUUCAGAAAACAAGUUUAGGAUGACAAGAAUGAAAGUUCAUCCUCUAGACACCAUUCCACUUCAAGGUUCAUAUCAACAUAAUGGUGUAUUUCAUUAUCAAUUAUAGGAGUGUGUAAUAACUAAUUAUGUAAAACGAUUAUAUAAGCUUAGCAUUCCCUAUAAUAUAAAUAUGAAAUUUUUUCUUUUUUUUUUUUUCAUUUCAAUCAUGUAAGCAUUUUCUCAUAGUUUAAGUCUCUGAGAGACCUUUACUAAUUUCAACUUAUGUCAUAUUAUAUUGGUAUAUGAGUUUGUAGGACUAAUAGAACUCAAUUUUGCUAGUAGCCAUGGAGUGAACAUGUCAUGGAGUGAACAUGUCAUGGUUGUAAAGUACUUUUUUAGACCUUGUUAUGAUAUUUGUAAACAAGUGGAUUUGAUUUAAAAUAUUUGGUAUUGAUAGAUCAUAAUAUGUAUGCAAUGAGUAACUUAAAGCGUUAUUUGGUAUUGAAUUGAAUGUAGUUUUUUGAUAUUUGCACACCAAGAGAAUGAUUUUGUGUACAAUUUUUUUAUAUAUAAAAUGUACUACAAUAGCAUUUUGUAAAGAGUGCUAUUAAUGAAACAUCCAAUAAUAGCACCUUAAGAGAAAGUGCUAUCAAACAUGUGUCAUAUAUUAGCGCUUUAUUUGAAAGUGCUAUUAAACAUGUGACAUAUAUUAGCGAUUUGUUUGAAAGUGCUAUCAAACAUGUGCCCUAUAAUAGCGCUUAGUUUGAAAGUGCUAUCAAACAUGUGCUCUAUAAUAGCGCUUAGUUUGAAAGUGCUAUCAAAAACAAAUAAAAAAACGUGCGUAAUGUCCACUUCAGUAGCACUUAAAAAAAACGCUAUUAAAAUCAGUACUUUAAUAGCGCUUUUAAAGUGCUAUUAAACAAAAAAUGUUUACAAUAGCGGCGCGGUUAAUAGCACUUUUAAGUGCUAUCAAAAACCAAAAAAAACGCUAUUAAAUAACUUAUUUGGCGUAGUGACAAAUCUUAAUCGGUGUUUUUCUGAUCUUUUUGCUUAAUCGCUUCGGAUUUAUGUUGUAUUAGAAAUAUGCUUCUUGAAUCUUGAUUAGGAGAAUACCUGUUAGUUCUAGAUUCUAGACAUAAGAUUUGGGGUUAACAUCCACAUGAUAUCGGAGUUUAAUGCUUCUGUGUUGUUCGAUCGUCGAAAGAGCAAUAUAGUUGAACUCUCGUCGGUGUUGCAGAAAUGGACAUUGAUGUGAGAGGUAUGUGGUGAUUCUGACGAGUAUUGUAGAUUGAGUUCAACGGAGUGAUAAAUCUAAAUUUGUGAGGAUUAGUUUAGAUUCAAACCAGAUAAGGUAUUCUCUAUCAAGAAUGUAUUUAUUUUAUGUUCAUAUGUUAUAUUUUCCAUUUUUACUUAAAACCCAUUUAAUCUAAACUCAUAACUGCAGAAAUUGUUGAAUGACAGUUUGAUAUCACUAAUCUCUGUAGACACGAUAAAUUCCCGGAUAAAUAUUUCCAAAACUUUUGUUGCUUGUCGCUUUACCGCAACAUAGAACUACCCUGAGGGAGAUGAUGUUAUUGGACCAUAAAUCACCCAUAGAACUACCCUGAUAGGACAUGAAACUUAUCCCCUUCUACGAUAAAGAGGUACUUAGCAGAAUUCAAAAAUCUAACGUCUCAUUAUCAACAUGAGCCAUUAUGGUAAAAUUUGAUGUACAAAGGGUUUUGGUUGAUUAGCGGAGCUCAUACGACAUCAUGUACGCUAAUCUCUUAGAAAAACUAUGACUGACCUAGGAGAGCCUCAUCCCAUACAAAGUUAGUGAUCUCUAGGGAUUCAAUGGAUCAACAAUAAGGCCAUGGGACUAUGUCGACUUAAUGGUAUUUUUUUAAAGGAAGGAGACCAAGAAAAUAAUGAAGGUA
This is a long non-coding RNA of Vicia villosa (hairy vetch), 2891 nucleotides long. RefSeq lists it as uncharacterized. The record is from RefSeq and is a predicted model, not a curated record. The transcript is spliced from 6 exons. NCBI's taxonomy places the organism in Eukaryota, Viridiplantae, Streptophyta, Magnoliopsida, Fabales, Fabaceae.